GACGAACGCUGGCGGCGUGCUUAACACAUACAAGUCGAACGGUAAGGCCCCAGCUUGCUGGGGUACACGAGUGGCGAACGGGUGAGUAACACGUGGGUGACCUGCCCCGCACUUCGGGAUAAGCCUGGGAAACUGGGUCUAAUACCGGAUAGGACCGCACCGUGAGGGUGUGGUGGAAAGUUUUUCGGUGUGGGAUGGGCCCGCGGCCUAUCAGCUUGUUGGUGGGGUAAUGGCCUACCAAGGCGGCGACGGGUAGCCGGCCUGAGAGGGUGGACGGCCACAUUGGGACUGAGACACGGCCCAGACUCCUACGGGAGGCAGCAGUGGGGAAUAUUGCACAAUGGGCGGAAGCCUGAUGCAGCGACGCCGCGUGGGGGAUGACGGCCUUCGGGUUGUAAACUCCUUUCACCAUCGACGAAGGUUUUCUGACGGUAGAUGGAGAAGAAGCACCGGCUAACUACGUG
Molecule: ribosomal RNA, 464 nt
Filed under: uncultured bacterium
Lineage: Bacteria
Description: partial 16S ribosomal RNA
Rfam family: Bacterial small subunit ribosomal RNA
Source: RNAcentral